This 430-nucleotide ribosomal RNA is filed under the name bacterium. RNAcentral describes it as "partial 16S ribosomal RNA". It matches the Rfam family "Bacterial small subunit ribosomal RNA", at positions 355 to 776 of the family's 1533-position model. The record is from RNAcentral.
UGGGGAAUAUUGGACAAUGGGCGGAAGCCUGAUCCAGCCAUGCCGCGUGUGUGAAGAAGGCCUUUUGGUUGUAAAGCACUUUAAGCGAGGAGGAGGCUACUUGGAUUAAUACUCUAGGAUAGUGGACGUUACUCGCAGAAUAAGCACCGGCUAACUCUGUGCCAGCAGCCGCGGUAAUACAGAGGGUGCGAGCGUUAAUCGGAUUUACUGGGCGUAAAGCGUGCUUAGGCGGCUUCUUAAGUCGGAUGUGAAAUCCCUGAGCUUAACUUAGGAAUUGCAUUCGAUACUGGGAAGCUAGAGUAUGGGAGAGGAUGGUAGAAUUCCAGGUGUAGCGGUGAAAUGCGUAGAGAUCUGGAGGAAUACCGAUGGCGAAGGCAGCCAUCUGGCCUAAUACUGACGCUGAGGUACGAAAGCAUGGGGAGCAAACAGG